CACGUAGGGGGCGAGCGUUGUCCGGAUUCAUUGGGCGUAAAGAGCGCGUAGGCGGCCCGGAAAGUGGGGUGUGAAAACUCGAGGCUUAACCUCGAGCUGUCGGCGGAAACCAUCUGGCUAGAGUCCGGAAGAGGAGAAUGGAAUUCCCGGUGUAGCGGUGAAAUGCGCAGAUAUCGGGAAGAACACCCGUGGCGAAGGCGGUUCUCUGGGACGGUACUGACGCUGAGACGCGAAAGCGUGGGGAGCGAACAGG
This 253-nucleotide ribosomal RNA is filed under the name uncultured bacterium. Its description in RNAcentral is "partial 16S ribosomal RNA". It matches the Rfam family "Bacterial small subunit ribosomal RNA", at positions 524 to 776 of the family's 1533-position model. The record is from RNAcentral.